UUUAAUAUCUGAUACGUCCUCUAUCCGAGG
RNAcentral lists this non-coding RNA (30 nucleotides) under Callithrix jacchus (white-tufted-ear marmoset). RNAcentral also lists the same sequence under 2 other names. Lineage: Eukaryota; Metazoa; Chordata; Mammalia; Primates; Cebidae. The record is from RNAcentral.